Molecule: ribosomal RNA, 366 nt
Filed under: uncultured bacterium
Lineage: Bacteria
Description: bacterial SSU rRNA
Rfam family: Bacterial small subunit ribosomal RNA
Source: RNAcentral
AACGAACGCUGGCGGCAUGCCUAACACAUGCAAGUCGAACGGGAUCCUAGCUUGCUAGGUGAGAGUGGCGGACGGGUGAGUAACACGUGGGAAUCUGCCUUUUGGUUCGGGAUAACCGCGGGAAACUGCGGCUAAUACCGAAUGCCCUCGAGAGAGGAAAGAUUUAAUCGCCAGAAGAGGAGCCCGCGUCCGAUUAGGUAGUUGGGUGGGGGUAAAAGGCCUAACCAAGCCGACGAUCGGUAGCUGGUCUGAGAGGAUGAUCAGCCACACUGGGACUGAGAUACGGCCCAGACUCCUACGGGAGGCAGCAGUGGGGAAUAUUGGACAAUGGGGGCAACCCUGAUCCAGCAAUGCCGCGUGAGUGAU